RNAcentral lists this ribosomal RNA (557 nucleotides) under uncultured archaeon. RNAcentral's name for it is "bacterial SSU rRNA". It matches the Rfam family "Archaeal small subunit ribosomal RNA", at positions 326 to 880 of the family's 1478-position model. The record is from RNAcentral.
CGGGGUGCAGCAGGCGCGAAAAUUUUACAAUGCAGGCAACUGCGAUAGGGGGACAUCGAGUGGCAUCCACCUUGGGUGCCUGUCCCACCGUCUAAAAAACGGUGGUUAGCAAGGGCCGGGCAAGACCGGUGCCAGCCGCCGCGGUAACACCGGCGGCUCGAGUGGUGGCCGAUAAUAUUGAGUCUAAAGGGUCCGUAGCCGGCUUUGCAAGUCCCCUGGGAAAUCCAGCGGCUUAACCGUUGGGCUUUCAUGGGAUACUACAUUUCUUGGGACUGGGAGAGGUUGGAGGUACUUGCGGGGUAGGGGUGAAAUCCUGUAAUCCCCCGGGGACCACCGGUGGCGAAGGCGUCCUAUCCAGAACAGGUCCGACGGUGAGGGACGAAAGCUAGGGGCACGAACCGGAUUAGAUACCCGGGUAGUUCCUAACCGUAAACGAUGCCCGAUAGGUGUCACGGCGGUCGUGAAUCACCGUGGUGCCGUAGGGAAGCCGCGAAGCGGGCCACCUGGGAGAGUACGGCCGCAAGGCUGAAACUUAAAGGAAUUGGCGGGGGAGCACA